UGAGGAACAUGACUUUCGGCGGGGGAUAGCCGGCCCAACGGCCGGGUAAUACCGCGUACGACCACAUGGGGACAUCCCUGAGUGGUGAAAGCAGCAAUGCGCCGAUGGAGUGCCUCGCGGCCUAUCAGCUAGUUGGUGAGGUAACGGCUCACCAAGGCGACGACGGGUAGCCGGCCUGAGAGGGUGACCGGCCACACUGGGACUGAGACACGGCCCAGACACCUACGGGAGG
RNAcentral lists this ribosomal RNA (232 nucleotides) under uncultured bacterium. RNAcentral describes it as "partial 16S ribosomal RNA". It matches the Rfam family "Bacterial small subunit ribosomal RNA", at positions 118 to 348 of the family's 1533-position model. The record is from RNAcentral.